Molecule: long non-coding RNA, 598 nt
Filed under: Cyanistes caeruleus (blue tit)
Lineage: Eukaryota; Metazoa; Chordata; Aves; Passeriformes; Paridae
Description: lncRNA (ENSCCEG00000015712.1)
Source: RNAcentral
AUGAGAUUUUAUAUAGGAAGUGUUUUCCUUUGUAUUGCAUGUACAUUGUAUAGGUAUUGCAAUUAUACAUAUACAAACUAUUUUUUAUCAGCUUUUCUUCUCCACUCUUCUUCCCCUAACUGGCUGAUGAUUUUUUCUCUUUCCUUUUUUCUUUUUUUUUUUUUUAAAAGUCCUUCACUCCAUCACAGUACUUGUUCCACUUUGUUCCUCUUCCACCAUCACACUUCAAAGACUUCCAGGAGUCAAAGUUCUUUCAACAAGCAGAUUACAAUUCCUAAAAACUCCCUGAGGACCUGAGGGCUGACUGAAAAAGGAGAUUUGCUGAAGCACUGUAUAAAAGGAGGAAGAAAGAAGUUGGAACAGUCUACAUGAAGAACAGUAUUGCAAUAAUUUUUAAAAUUUAUCAAUCUUCUGUUAGUCUGACAUCUCUCCUGCCACAUUCCUUUAGAAUCCUGGAAAACUGGAAAAGAGAAAAGAGGAAGCAUCUCAAUCUUUUCUUGGCAUUUCAUUCUCCCAGUGAAACCAUAAUCAGCUCUCACAACUUCUACUGCAAAUAUAUCUCUUGAUAACACAGCCAAUAAGACAUGUAAUUUAGUGA